This 446-nucleotide ribosomal RNA is filed under the name uncultured bacterium. RNAcentral describes it as "bacterial SSU rRNA". It matches the Rfam family "Bacterial small subunit ribosomal RNA", at positions 330 to 792 of the family's 1533-position model. The record is from RNAcentral.
UCCAGACUCCUACGGGAGGCAGCAGUGGGGAAUAUUGCACAAUGGGGGGAACCCUGAUGCAGCGACGCCGCGUGGGUGAAGGAGUAUUUCGAUAUGUAAAGCCCUAUCAGCAGGGAAGAACAAUGACGGUACCUGACUAAGAAGCACCGGCUAAAUACGUGCCAGCAGCCGCGGUAAUACGUAUGGUGCAAGCGUUAUCCGGAUUUACUGGGUGUAAAGGGGGCGCAGACGGCGAUGCAAGCCAGGAGUGAAAGCCCGGGGCCCAACCCCGGGACUGCUCUUGGAACUGCGUGGCUGGAGUGCAGGAGGGGCAGGCGGAAUUCCUGGUGUAGCGGUUAAAUGCGUAGAUAUCAGGAGGAACACCGGUGGCGAAGGCGGCCUGCUGGACUGCAACUGACGUUGAGGCCCGAAAGCGUGGGGAGCAAACAGGAUUAGAUACCCUUGUA